CAAGGGAAGCAAAACUAGACAUACUGACAUGAGACACAGACCUUUAAAGUAAAGAUGGAAAUACAACAGCUAGCUCUGUGCCAAUUUUUGUUUCUUGGAGGCCCUUAAAUGUUGGGAGUAAAAAAUGGAGAAAAGAUAAAGUGGAAGUUGAUGAGCUGAUUGAGGCUGCAGGUCGUGUGGAGUAUCAGGACAACAUGAAGAAGAAUGACUCAGGAGGAUACACAUUCAGAUUCAACAAAGAUCAUGAAGGAUGGACACGGUCUGAUCUGCCUGGAGUCUUUUUGAUUGUUACAGUGAUGAUCUUUUGUUUCUCCAUCAGAAUAAAGGUGGAUGUUUGGCCUUCAGCCUUUUCUGUCUCACAUCAUAACUUCCUGUAACCUCCUCGUCAGCGUCACUCACCACCGACACCUGAUCAUGUCUGAACUUUUGCAUGUUUUUAUUUGCCUCACACAGUUAUUCUAUAAAUUGCAGUGUGAAGCCACGUUAUGACUCACUGUGAGUCGCAUGUUAUUUUUUAUCUUAAGAAAUUUCUUUUAUCAUAUUGUAAUUUUAUUUUAUUGCCCUAUAUACCAUUUUACAUAUUUAAGUUAUUUUGUAUUUAAAUGUAAUUAAUUAUUUAUUUAUUUUAAUUUUAACUGCUAUUAGAAAUGUCUUGUCUUCAUAUCUAUUCAUGGCAUACGAUUUGAUAGGCGCUGUACAUUUUGAAUUUUUACAAAACCUGCAACACUUUCAAAUUACCAGCAUUUUCUUUAAUUGAAUGAGAUGAAAAUAAAUCUUGAGUGUUAAAUAAUUCUGUGCUUUUAUUGUUUGUCUAUUUGUCUCAUAUAUGGAAAGUUUUUAGCUCAUGCGGCAGAGCAGGAUGAUCAUCACUAUAGCAUCUAUCUUCAGUGAGAACAACACAGCUGGUCUCUGCUCCACCAUCGAGCCACUGCCCCAUCACUAAAGAAUAGUUUGUUACCAUAGUGGUUAAAAGGGACCUUUUUCUGAUCGGUUUCGUGGCUGGAAAAUCUUCAUUUUUAUAGCAGAAACACCUCAGCUGGAGUGUUUGUCAGUGGUUUUC
Long non-coding RNA from Oreochromis aureus, 1060 nucleotides. The record is from Ensembl. Lineage: Eukaryota; Metazoa; Chordata; Actinopteri; Cichliformes; Cichlidae.